CGACUUCUCCCGUCUUAUGCGCUCGCCUUCUCUCGUGGUCUCCUCCAUUGCUUACCCUCUCUCUCACGCCCUGCCUGGCGCACAGCCUUUUCUUUUGGCUUGCUCCCCUCAGCGUUGCGGUCGCCUCUACUCUCGUACCCGGCCCUCCCCACCCCACUCUGCUCGCGCGUUGUUGUACCUGUCGCUCCUUCGAGGUAACGGUGUGGAGGAGAGGGAAUGGAGGAGGCGUGGGGUGGGUACUCUGGACGACACAGAGCUGAUGCCGAGGCGCGGUGUAUGAUUGGGAGAAAGCAAGCAGCGCAUCGACGAGCUGACGAGGGCGAAGCUGCUUAUGGCGCUAGCCACCGCCACUCUCAAUUCAACAGCAACCGUUAAAAAAAUGCAUAAACAGCAGAUUAGCUGACGAUCAAAGAGAGCAUGCACAGACACGCAGGCAGGCCUGUCCUACCCCUUUCCUGUACUCUGCGUUAUGUGCGCACUCGCAGAUGACGCAGUAAGCGUGCACGAGAGCACUCGUCGCCCAUUGUCAUCCCCCUUCGUACGAGUUAUGGAGAGGGGGUGAGGUGUUGAGUGGAGGAGAGAAGCCGGGGGUGGCGGCAGUGCACAGGACUUGGUCUCUGCUAAGUAGGGGCCGUUUUGACAGGUGUGUGGGGCGGCAGCCCUCGUCUUUGUCUCCCUCUCAUCUUCUUGCCCCCCCCCACACACACACACCGGCAUACAUACGUGCCCGCAGGCAAAACUGGACGAUGCCAUAUCUCGAACAUGGCCUGCUCAGUUGGAUUUCCCUUUUUUUCUCUUGCAGGUACUCCCCGAGAUUGUGUUGUGGCAUACUGCGCGUGAUACGGCACAACUGGGGCUGAUACCAAGCGGCAGGAGGUGAGGAGGGCAAAGAAGGGGCUGGGUGGCGAGGGACAAGGGAGGGAAGGAGAUACGAGGACGUGCUGGUAUCGGACUGUGAUCUGG
Molecule: unclassified non-coding RNA, 963 nt
Filed under: Leishmania donovani
Lineage: Eukaryota; Euglenozoa; Kinetoplastea; Trypanosomatida; Trypanosomatidae
Description: gene:unknown
Source: RNAcentral